CAGAGCACUGUGUGUUUUGAAAUAUACAAAUAGUGGGAAAUGAAAUCUUUGUUCUGGAUGCAGUUAUAAUUUGGAAAGCGAGGAAAUAAAUUAUAACAAGGGGAAAAAACAGAAUACUACUAAAGUCAUGCCGUGUGACUUCUGAAGCUAGCUCCUAAGAAGUCCUUGCAGCUUCUGCCUGCGACUCUUAGAACACUUGCUUUGAAGGAUGCCAGACGCUGUGUUAAAAGUCUGAGCACUCUGAAACCACCAUGCUGUGAGGAAGCCCAAGCUAACCACAUGGGCAAAAAAGAUGCCCUCUGACUGCCACCAUUUGAGACACUCUAAUUAAGAACUGCCUCAUUGAGCCCAUGAGGCCCUGUGAAUGAUAGUAAUAAAUUGUUUUUAACCACUAUGUUUUUGGAUUUGUUAUAAGUUUAUAGAUAACAAGAAAAAGUUAUAUUAGCAUGGUAAUAAAAUUAUGGAUAUGUGUAA
Molecule: long non-coding RNA, 474 nt
Filed under: Pan troglodytes (chimpanzee)
Lineage: Eukaryota; Metazoa; Chordata; Mammalia; Primates; Hominidae
Description: lincRNA
Source: RNAcentral